AUUGAACGCUGGCGGCAUGCCUUACACAUGCAAGUCGAACGGCAGCACGGACUUCGGUCUGGUGGCGAGUGGCGAACGGGUGAGUAAUGUAUCGGAACGUACCUUUCAGUGGGGGAUAACGUAGCGAAAGUUACGCUAAUACCGCAUAUUCUGUGAGCAGGAAAGCAGGGGAUCGAAAGACCUUGCGCUGAUUGAGCGGCCGAUAUCAGAUUAGCUAGUUGGUGGGGUAAAGGCCUACCAAGGCGACGAUCUGUAGCGGGUCUGAGAGGAUGAUCCGCCACACUGAAAUGGGGACCCGGGCCGGAACCCUCGGGGGGCAGGCGGGGGGGAAUUUUGGACAAGGGGGGCAACCCUGAUCCAGCCGUGCCGGGUGGGGGAAGAAGGCCUUCGGGUGGUAAAGUCUUUUCGGCCGGGAAAAAACCGCAUAGGCUAAUACCCUGUGGGGAUGACGGUACGGGAAAAGGAAGCACCGGCUAACUAGG
RNAcentral lists this ribosomal RNA (482 nucleotides) under uncultured bacterium. RNAcentral describes it as "partial 16S ribosomal RNA". It matches the Rfam family "Bacterial small subunit ribosomal RNA", at positions 29 to 505 of the family's 1533-position model. The record is from RNAcentral.